RNAcentral lists this ribosomal RNA (298 nucleotides) under uncultured bacterium. RNAcentral describes it as "partial 16S ribosomal RNA". It matches the Rfam family "Bacterial small subunit ribosomal RNA", at positions 336 to 632 of the family's 1533-position model. The record is from RNAcentral.
UUCCUACGGGGGGCAGCAGUGAGGAAUAUUGGUCAAUGGCCGGAAGGCUGAACCAGCCAAGCCGCGUGAAGGACGAAGGUGCCAAGCAUUGUAAACUUCUUUUGUCAAGGGACAAAAUCAGGCUCGAGAGCCUGACCGAGGGUACUUGAAGAAAAAGCAUCGGCUAACUCCGUGCCAGCAGCCGCGGUAAUACGGAGGAUGCGAGCGUUAUCCGGAUUUAUUGGGUUUAAAGGGUGCGUAGGCGGUUUUUUAAGUUAGUGGUUAAACGUCGGGGCUUCACCUUGCAUUGCCAUUAAUA